This 491-nucleotide ribosomal RNA is filed under the name Klebsiella pneumoniae. RNAcentral describes it as "bacterial SSU rRNA". It matches the Rfam family "Bacterial small subunit ribosomal RNA", at positions 103 to 590 of the family's 1533-position model. Lineage: Bacteria; Pseudomonadati; Pseudomonadota; Gammaproteobacteria; Enterobacterales; Enterobacteriaceae. The record is from RNAcentral.
CGGGUGAGUAAUGCCUAGGAAUCUGCCUGGUAGUGGGGGAUAACGUUCCGAAAGGAACGCUAAUACCGCAUACGUCCUACGGGAGAAAGCAGGGGACCUUCGGGCCUUGCGCUAUCAGAUGAGCCUAGGUCGGAUUAGCUAGUUGGUGAGGUAACGGCUCACCAAGGCGACGAUCCGUAACUGGUCUGAGAGGAUGAUCAGUCACACUGGAACUGAGACACGGUCCAGACUCCUACGGGAGGCAGCAGUGGGGAAUAUUGGACAAUGGGCGAAAGCCUGAUCCAGCCAUGCCGCGUGUGUGAAGAAGGUCUUCGGAUUGUAAAGCACUUUAAGUUGGGAGGAAGGGCAUUAACCUAAUACGUUAGUGUUUUGACGUUACCGACAGAAUAAGCACCGGCUAACUUCGUGCCAGCAGCCGCGGUAAUACGAAGGGUGCAAGCGUUAAUCGGAAUUACUGGGCGUAAAGCGCGCGUAGGUGGUUUGUUAAGUUG